GUAUUAGGUUUUAUAGGCAAACAAAGGCCCACUAAUGACAUUCUGUAACAUGCGUAUGGGGUGUAAAUGUAAGACAUAGACCAGGAAAUGCAAAGGGAAGCUUAAGCUAAUAAGCAGCCCUCAAAACCGAAGCACCCCCCCAAAAAAGAGAGUGAUUCGAGAGGUAUCCAAAAGGUCUACAAAACGGUGCACAGGUGGUUGUAAAAAUGGUGGCAGGCGUGCACGAUGCUCCUAAAAGCCAGCAGCAACCCGACCAAGUUUAUUCAAUAAUGAUCCUUCCGCAGGUUCACCUACGGAAA
RNAcentral lists this unclassified non-coding RNA (299 nucleotides) under uncultured fungus. Its description in RNAcentral is "sequence contains ITS1". The record is from RNAcentral. Lineage: Eukaryota; Fungi.